This 617-nucleotide ribosomal RNA is filed under the name uncultured Ectothiorhodospiraceae bacterium. RNAcentral describes it as "bacterial SSU rRNA". It matches the Rfam family "Bacterial small subunit ribosomal RNA", at positions 35 to 643 of the family's 1533-position model. The record is from RNAcentral. Lineage: Bacteria; Pseudomonadati; Pseudomonadota; Gammaproteobacteria; Chromatiales; Ectothiorhodospiraceae.
GCUGGCGGCAUGCCUAACACAUGCAAGUCGAACGGUAACGCGAGGAGCUUGCUCCUUGGCGACGAGUGGCGGACGGGUGAGUAAUACUUAGGAAUCUGCCCAGUAGUGGGGGACAACCAGGAGAAAUCCUGGCUAAUACCGCAUACGCACUACGGUGGAAAGUGGGGGAUCUUCGGACCUCACGCUAUUGGAUGAGCCUAAGUCGGAUUAGCUUGUUGGUAGGGUAAUGGCCUACCAAGGCGACGAUCCGUAGCUGGUCUGAGAGGACGAUCAGCCACACUGGGACUGAGACACGGCCCAGACUCCUACGGGAGGCAGCAGUGGGGAAUAUUGGACAAUGGGGGCAACCCUGAUCCAGCAAUGCCGCGUGUGUGAAGAAGGCCUGCGGGUUGUAAAGCACUUUCAGUAGAGAAGAAAAGCCUAGGGUUAAUAACCCUGAGUCUUGACGUAACCUACAGAAGAAGCACCGGCUAACUCCGUGCCAGCAGCCGCGGUAAUACGGAGGGUGCGAGCGUUAAUCGGAAUUACUGGGCGUAAAGCGCGCGUAGGCGGCUUUGUAAGUCGGAUGUGAAAGCCCCGGGCUUAACCUGGGAAUUGCAUUCGAUACUGCAUAACUA